This 885-nucleotide ribosomal RNA is filed under the name Leifsonia sp. qy20. Its description in RNAcentral is "bacterial SSU rRNA". It matches the Rfam family "Bacterial small subunit ribosomal RNA", at positions 546 to 1428 of the family's 1533-position model. Lineage: Bacteria; Bacillati; Actinomycetota; Actinomycetes; Micrococcales; Microbacteriaceae. The record is from RNAcentral.
CGGAAUUAUUGGGCGUAAAGAGCUCGUAGGCGGUUUGUCGCGUCUGCUGUGAAAUCCCGAGGCUCAACCUCGGGCCUGCAGUGGGUACGGGCAGACUAGAGUGCGGUAGGGGAGAUUGGAAUUCCUGGUGUAGCGGUGGAAUGCGCAGAUAUCAGGAGGAACACCGAUGGCGAAGGCAGAUCUCUGGGCCGUAACUGACGCUGAGGAGCGAAAGCGUGGGGAGCGAACAGGAUUAGAUACCCUGGUAGUCCACGCCGUAAACGUUGGGAACUAGAUGUGGGGACCAUUCCACGGUCUCCGUGUCGCAGCUAACGCAUUAAGUUCCCCGCCUGGGGAGUACGGCCGCAAGGCUAAAACUCAAAGGAAUUGACGGGGGCCCGCACAAGCGGCGGAGCAUGCGGAUUAAUUCGAUGCAACGCGAAGAACCUUACCAAGGCUUGACAUAUACGAGAACGGGCCAGAAAUGGUCAACUCUUUGGACACUCGUAAACAGGUGGUGCAUGGUUGUCGUCAGCUCGUGUCGUGAGAUGUUGGGUUAAGUCCCGCAACGAGCGCAACCCUCGUCCUAUGUUGCCAGCACGUAAUGGUGGGAACUCAUGGGAUACUGCCGGGGUCAACUCGGAGGAAGGUGGGGAUGACGUCAAAUCAUCAUGCCCCUUAUGUCUUGGGCUUCACGCAUGCUACAAUGGCCGGUACAAAGGGCUGCAAUACCGUAAGGUGGAGCGAAUCCCAAAAAGCCGGUCUCAGUUCGGAUUGAGGUCUGCAACUCGACCUCAUGAAGUCGGAGUCGCUAGUAAUCGCAGAUCAGCAACGCUGCGGUGAAUACGUUCCCGGGCCUUGUACACACCGCCCGUCAAGUCAUGAAAGUCGGUAACACCCGAAGCC